Molecule: long non-coding RNA, 809 nt
Filed under: Equus caballus (horse)
Lineage: Eukaryota; Metazoa; Chordata; Mammalia; Perissodactyla; Equidae
Description: lncRNA (ENSECAG00000050411.1)
Source: RNAcentral
GGUAGACCCCCAAGUCAGGCCUUGGAUAGGGCCAAACUCCUGCCUGGGACUUCCUGAUAGCCCUCAAAGACCAUUUUUAACCUUCCUCCACGACCUAACCCACUGGGACAGGUGAAAUGAUGCAAUGAGGAGAACAAUACUGUUGGAAACUCUCCAACAACUGCUCACCAGGUUUACAAACGUUGUAGGAUUUGUCCUCAGUUUAACACUGGAAAACCCUUACAUAAUGCUAUCGGAAAAUUCCCUCUUCUUGGUGCCCCCUUUGAAGUCUGACAAAUGGAUUUUACCUAACUUCCUCCAUCUCAAGGUUAUAAAUAUAUAUGCUGAGAAGUCCCAUGAUCAGCCGUCUGCAAGGUGAAGACCCAGGAAAGCCAGAGGUGUAGUUCUAUAUGAGUCUGAAGGCCUGAGAACAGUCAGUGCCAGUGUCAAGAGUAGAAGAUGGAUGUCUCAGCUCAAGCAAAGAGAGCAAAUGUGCCUUCCCUCCACCAUUUUGUUCUAGUCAGUCCUCAGCUGAAAGGAUGGUGUCCACCCACAUUGGACACAGGAAACAAAAGGAAAAAAGAGAGGAGGACAAACCACUGUUGCCACUCCACUGCUGUUCUUUUCUGGCUUCUUACCUUGACUCUUGUCCUGGCUUAGUGAUAGAAAAACCCCGCUACAGAUAGUGGGACAGUCCUUGUUUACGCCCCGUUUCCACUCCAGAGAUCUGAGAUUGGACAACACACUCUGUGGUCACCUUACCUAUGGAGAGAGACUGUGCCCAGGAAAUCUUUUGAAUUCUUGGUAAAUAGAUGAAGAGUAAGUUGACC